CCUACGGGGGGCUGCAGUGGGGAAUAUUGGACAAUGGGGGGAACCCUGAUCCAGCCAUGCCGCGUGUGUGAAGAAGGCCCUCGGGUUGUAAAGCACUUUCAGUGAGGAAGAACGCCUGGUGGUUAAUACCCAUCAGGAAAGACAUCACUCACAGAAGAAGCACCGGCUAACUCCGUGCCAGCAGCCGCGGUAAUACGGAGGGUGCGAGCGUUAAUCGGAAUUACUGGGCGUAAAGCGCGCGUAGGUGGCUUGAUAAGCCGGUUGUGAAAGCCCCGGGCUCAACCUGGGAACGGCAUCCGGAACUGUCAAGCUAGAGUGCAGGAGAGGAAGGUAGAAUUCCAGGUGUAGCGGUGAAAUGCGUAGAGAUCGGGAGGAAUACCAGUGGCGAAGGCGGCCUUCUGGACUGACACUGACACUGAGGUGCGAAAGCGUGGGUAGCAAACAGGAUUAGAUACCCUGGUAGUC
This 465-nucleotide ribosomal RNA is filed under the name Vreelandella stevensii. RNAcentral's name for it is "partial 16S ribosomal RNA". It matches the Rfam family "Bacterial small subunit ribosomal RNA", at positions 338 to 795 of the family's 1533-position model. Lineage: Bacteria; Pseudomonadati; Pseudomonadota; Gammaproteobacteria; Oceanospirillales; Halomonadaceae. The record is from RNAcentral.